AAGUCGUAACAAGGUUUCCGUAGGUGAACCUGCGGAAGGAUCAUUAUUGAAACUUCUUUGGAAAUAGUACUGUUGCUGGCCUUGUAAUGAGGUAUGUGCACGUCUAUUACCAAUUUAUUCAUCCACCUGUGCACUUUUUGUAGGAGUUCUUUGAAGUUAUUUUGUACUUGUGCAAUUUUGACUUUGAAAGGCUUCUAUGUCUUAUAAACCCAUUAGUAUGUCUCGAAUGUUUUUUUAUUGGGACUUGAUUGGCCCUUUAGACUUGUACAA
Molecule: unclassified non-coding RNA, 270 nt
Filed under: plant metagenome
Description: partial contains small subunit ribosomal RNA and internal transcribed spacer 1
Rfam family: Eukaryotic small subunit ribosomal RNA (bases 1-46)
Source: RNAcentral